This 635-nucleotide long non-coding RNA is filed under the name Gallus gallus (chicken). RNAcentral describes it as "lncRNA (ENSGALG00010014732.1)". Lineage: Eukaryota; Metazoa; Chordata; Aves; Galliformes; Phasianidae. The record is from RNAcentral.
AUGAAAUUAGCACAGGCAACCGCGGCUGCCAGCAGCCUCACCGUGCCGAUGCUUUGCGCUCCCACCUGAGCCACUGCCCUGCUCUGUCCUUGGAGGAUGAGUUGGGUGCCCAUGAGUCUCCCUGCUAUUCCUAGGAGUUUACUCAGGAUCUGCAGGAGGAUGUGCAGCCUGGAGCUCACCACUACCCUUCUCUUCAGACCGCUGGGAGGUGGAAGUGCUGAUAGAAACACUGCGCUCCUCUGGGCCGUGCAGGCAAUAGGAGGUGGAGCUCCUUGCCCAGAUAUCUUGCUGAUAUCCCUCGCCAUAUGGGAUGUGUGUGGUGCUGCUUCCUCCUGGCUGUCACUCGUGGGGUUCUGCCCCGGCUCCGAAGCUCCGUGCGUGGGAACAGCUCCUGGCUGGGGCUCAUCUCUGUCUGCAGGAGCUGCUCGGCCUCUUUCAGCACAUCUCAGUCUGUUUGGAGACAGUUCCCACAAGCAUCUCUUCUCCAGGUGUAGCGGCUUUCUCUCCCCCGUGUUUCAGCCGUGGUAUCACAUUAUUUAUGAGACAGACAGAAGUUGCAUUCAGCUGAGAGCCGGAGGCUUCUCUCGGUACAAAUCGCCCUGCAAUGCUGCUGUAUUUGGGAUGGAGAAAGGCAG